RNAcentral lists this ribosomal RNA (135 nucleotides) under uncultured bacterium. RNAcentral's name for it is "partial 16S ribosomal RNA". It matches the Rfam family "Bacterial small subunit ribosomal RNA", at positions 356 to 508 of the family's 1533-position model. The record is from RNAcentral.
GGGGAAUAUUGGACAAUGGGCGCAAGCCUGAUCCAGCCAUGCCGCGUGAGUGAUGAAGGCCCUAGGGUUGUAGAGCUCUUUUGUGCGGGAAGAUAAUGACGGUACCGCAAGAAUAAGCCCCGGCUAACUUCGUGC